AACAGCCUUUUAUGAACAGACAUAUAUGUUCCCAAAUGUCAAUUCAUGUCGUCAACCCACCUGCCUCUUCCGUACGCACAGCGCUUCAUUAAUUAUUAUUGACAGUGCCAUAGUGCCCGGAGGCCUCAGGCAGGAACAAGAUCUCCUAGCACAGCAUGCUGUACAAGCACAGGGUGAAAGACCAUCCCUGCCCUGAACAGCUUACCUUCUAAAAAGACAAGGUGGAGAAGGGGUGAAGUUUCCAAGCAUGAAGGUCAGGGCAAAGAUGGGAGCAAGUCAUGGUCUGGCUGGCCACCCCUGCUCUGGGGGAGGUGUAUGCAAAUAUACACCUUCCAGGUAUGCAAGAACUCAACCUUUUGAAGCUUCAAACUGAAGAGGGAACCUUUGUCUGACGAUCACCUGUUACAUGAGGACAAGACCAGAGUCCUAAACUGUAUAAAGGAAUGUCCCUCGGAUUCAUAGAGUGCGCUUGUUCUGAGUUAACAGCUGGUAUCAAUUCAUUACUAUAGAAAAAAACACUUGGUGGAGCUGAAGGACUGACUCCUACCACAGCCCUUCUUGGUGAUGGGUGAUCUUUGCUAAGCUUAUUAACAUAUAUAUCUACCAUCAAUCUUGGACAUUGAAGAACCUGGACCAUCGGACUCAUUUGGCAAGCCAGAGCCCUUUGACUCUUACCACUGGGUCCUCAAGGAAGGGUGUAAGUAUGCAGAUUUAAGAGCUUGUGCAAAGAAUGAUACCACAGAUAUCCCCAAUACUGGACUACUCCUGUCUUUUUAUGUGGC
Long non-coding RNA from Caretta caretta (loggerhead turtle), 782 nucleotides. RefSeq lists it as uncharacterized. The record is from RefSeq and is a predicted model, not a curated record. NCBI's taxonomy places the organism in Eukaryota, Metazoa, Chordata, Testudines, Cheloniidae.